GCCUAAAGCGUCCGUAGCCUGCUUUGUCAGUUUUCGGUUAAAUCCAUACGCUCAGCGUAUGGGCUGCCGGAAAUACUGCAAAGCUAGGGAGUGGGAGAGGUAGACGGUACUCGGGAGGAAGGGGUAAAAUCCUUUGAUCUCUCGAUGACCACCUGUGGCGAAGGCGGUCUACCAGAACACGUCCGACGGUGAGGGAUGAAAGCUGGGGGAGCAAACCGGAUUAGAUACCCGGGUAGUCCCAGCUGUAAACUAUGCAAACUCAGUGAUGCAUUGGCUUGAUGCCAAUGCAGUGUUGCAGGGAAGCCGUUAAGUUUGCCGCCUGGGAAGUACGUACGCAAGUAUGAAACUUAAAGGAAUUGGCGGGGGAGCACCACAAGGGGUGAAGCCUGCGGUUCAAUUGGAGUCAACGCCAGAAAUCUUACCCGGAGAGACAGCAGAAUGAAGGUCAAGCUGAAGACUUUACCAGACAAGCUGAGAGGUGGUGCAUGGCCGUCGCCAGCUCGUGCCGUGAGAUGUCCUGUUAAGUCAGGUAACGAGCGAGACCCUUGCCUCUAGUUGCCACCAUUGCUCUCUGGAGCAGUGGGGCGAAUUAGCGGGACCGCCGCAGUUAAUGCGGAGGAAGGAAAGGGCUACGGCAGGUCAGUAUGCCCCGAA
This 654-nucleotide ribosomal RNA is filed under the name uncultured archaeon. Its description in RNAcentral is "bacterial SSU rRNA". It matches the Rfam family "Archaeal small subunit ribosomal RNA", at positions 508 to 1160 of the family's 1478-position model. The record is from RNAcentral.